Molecule: ribosomal RNA, 375 nt
Filed under: Triticum aestivum (bread wheat)
Lineage: Eukaryota; Viridiplantae; Streptophyta; Magnoliopsida; Poales; Poaceae
Description: partial small subunit ribosomal RNA
Source: RNAcentral
AUGAUAAUCCCACUAUUUUGGAAGAGUGUCAACUUCACAUGCAUGUGGAUCGUGUUGAGAAUAUGUUAUGUGAUAGCUAUUUUAUUGAAUUUGCCUAUGAUCCUACAUGUAAUUAUUAUGAGAGAGGAAAAUAUGGUCGUAGAAAUUUUUAUCUUACUAAUUAAAUUACCUCUCGUCAUGUUGAGAUUGCUAUCGUCUCUUUCUUCUUCCUUGCAUAUGCUAGUUUUUGCUUGUCUUACAAGUUUGUUUGCUUAUAAUAUGCCUAUGCAUAGGAAGUAUGUUAGACUUAGUGGGUUUUUCACGUGUUUCAUGAUGCUCUCUUUGGCUUCAAUUCUUGUCUUUCAUGUGAGGAUCAUUAAAAUUAUCAAUGCCUAG